AUGUCCAUUCAAUCCAAGAUCACAGAAGGAUACCUUCUAUUUCCUAUGUCUAAAACAGCUGACACUGACACUGUGGUUCACCCUGAAAUACAACAAGUGUUGGAAGAAUUUCAGGAUGUAUUUGAGACACCUACAAGGUUGCCACCAGAGAGGGAAUUUGACCAUGCAAUCCCCCUAAAGCAAGGUUCUGAACCCCCUAAUCUUAGACCCUACAGAGUGCCCCACCAGCAAAAAGAAGAGAUGGAGCAGCAAAUUAAGAAAUUGCUGGAGGCUUCCAUAAUCCGACCUAGUGAUAGCCCGUAUGCAGCGCCAGCACUGCUUGUUAAAAAGAAAGAUGGCACCUGGAGGUUAUGCACUGAUUUUAGAAAAUUAAAUGACCAGACCACCAAGAAUAAAUUUCCAAUACCCAUUAUUGAAGACUUGCUAGAUGAGCUGCAUGGGGCCAGUUUUUUCACAAAGUUGGAUCUGAGAUCUGGAUAUUACCAAAUAAGGAUGAGGAAUGAAGAUAUCCAUAAAACUGCUUUCACUACUUACCUGGGCCAUUUUGAGUACUUGGUUAUGCCUUUUGGCUUAACAAAUGCACCAGCAACCUUUCAGGCACUCAUGAAUUUCAUUUUCAAAAGGCACAUCAGGAAAUUUAUCUUGGUAUUCUUUGAUGAUAUAUUAGUCUACAGCAAAACUCUCAAAGAGCAUAUCCAACACCUCAGAGAAACACUUCAAAUUCUCAGAGAGCAGCAACUUUAUGCUAAGAUGAGCAAGUGUGUAUUUGCUGCCCCCCAGGUGGAAUACUUGGGCCAUAUAAUAUCUUCAGAAGGAGUUGCCACAGACCCAAAUAAAAUUCUCACUGUCAAGACCUGGCCCUUGCCAAAAACCAUCACACAGCUGAGGAGUUUUUUGGGAAUGGUGGUUAUUACAGAAGGUUUGUGCCCAACUUUGGUCUCAUAUGUAGGCCAUUACAUGAUAUGCUAA
RNAcentral lists this ribosomal RNA (969 nucleotides) under Triticum aestivum (bread wheat). RNAcentral's name for it is "partial small subunit ribosomal RNA". Lineage: Eukaryota; Viridiplantae; Streptophyta; Magnoliopsida; Poales; Poaceae. The record is from RNAcentral.